RNAcentral lists this ribosomal RNA (402 nucleotides) under uncultured bacterium. RNAcentral describes it as "bacterial SSU rRNA". It matches the Rfam family "Bacterial small subunit ribosomal RNA", at positions 357 to 776 of the family's 1533-position model. The record is from RNAcentral.
GGGAAUAUUGGACAAUGGGGGAAACCCUUAUCCAGCGACGCCGCGUGAGGGAAGAAGGUUUUCGGAUUGUAAACCUCUGUCAGUGGGGACGAUAAUGACGGUACCCACGGAGGAAGCCACGGCUAACUACGUGCCAGCAGCCGCGGUAAUACGUAGGUGGCAAGCGUUGUCCGGAUUUACUGGGUGUAAAGGGAGCGUAGACGGCGGGGCAAGUCUGGAGUGAAAGGCCGGGGCCCAACCCCGGGACCGCUCUGGAAACUGCCCGGCUGGAGUGCGGGAGAGGUAAGCGGAAUUCCUAGUGUAGCGGUGAAAUGCGUAGAUAUUAGGAGGAACACCAGCGGCGAAGGCGGCUUACUGGACCGUGACUGACGUUGAGGCUCGAAAGCGUGGGGAGCAAACAGG